This 572-nucleotide ribosomal RNA is filed under the name Duttaphrynus melanostictus (Asian common toad). RNAcentral describes it as "partial 16S ribosomal RNA". It matches the Rfam family "Bacterial large subunit ribosomal RNA", at positions 1844 to 2620 of the family's 2925-position model. The record is from RNAcentral. Lineage: Eukaryota; Metazoa; Chordata; Amphibia; Anura; Bufonidae.
UAUAGAGGUCAGCCUGCCCAGUGACCCUGUUCAACGGCCGCGGUAUCCUAACCGUGCGAAGGUAGCGUAAUCACUUGUUCUUUAAAUGUGGACUAGUAUGAAUGGCAUCACGAAGGUUAUACUGUCUCCUUUUUCUAAUCAGUGAAACUAAUCUCCCCGUGAAGAAGCGAGGAUAAAAAUAUAAGACGAGAAGACCCUAUGGAGCUUUAAACAAAGUAGCACUCGCCACAUAAAUGAAAAAUUCCAGAAUCACCAUCUUCCUCAGGCAAUCUGACUACACGUUUUUGGUUGGGGUGACCGCGGAGUAUAACACAACCUCCAUGUUGAAAGAAAGCUUUCUAAACUAAGAGCUACACCUCUAAGUAUCAAAAGAUUGACAUCCAUUGACCCAAUAAAUUUGAACAACGAACCAAGUUACCCUAGGGAUAACAGCGCAAUCCACUUCAAGAGCUCCUAUCGACAAGUGGGUUUACGACCUCGAUGUUGGAUCAGGGUCUCCCAGUGGUGCAGCCGCUACUAAAGGUUCGUUUGUUCAACGAUUAAAACCCUACGUGAUCUGAGUUCAGCCCGGA